UAUUUUUACCAUGUCAAAUUUUGGACAACUACUCUUUUUGAUUUUUCAUUAAUUUGUGAGCAAUAAUAACUUUUUACCAUUUUCUGUUUUUGCUAUUUUCAGUUGUAUUUUACCUUUUUUUUUGUAACCAGCGAAAUAGUUUCAUGAGACAAUUUUUUCAACUUUAAAAAUUACCAAUGAUCUGUGAUUCUCAAGUCAGCUUUUCAUCUAUAACAAAUUUUGCUGUGUAUCAUUUUGGCCCUUGUCGGUUUCAUUUUGGUCCUUAAAACCAAAACUGCCUCAGAAUCUAAAUGGCAUUCUUCUGCCUAUGGAAGAGCCAAGGAUAGAAGUCCAGAACAUAGGUACAUGUAUAUAGGUAUGGCGAUUUGAAGAGAAGUCUAGGAUGAAAUGUAGAUUUGUAAGCAUUUGCAUCUGGGUAUGGGGGCAAGAGAGUGGAUGACAUCUCACCAGAGGGUGUAUAGCGUAAGAGAAGAGCACCCCAAAAAACUAGGAGAAAGAAUCCAGGAAGGAGCGGUAGAAGGUAGGGAGAAACUCACAAGACGGCAUUCUUGUGGAAGUCAAGUCAAGAAAGAGGAAGUGGUCAACAAUGUUGGAUGCUGCAAAGAGGAUGCAUACUGAAAUGUGUGGAUUUUGCAACAAUAACAUCACCCUGUCGUCACUGAAGGCAACCUCAUGAACGGAGAAAGAUAUGCAGCUGGGUAUACAGAAGAGGAGCAAGAAGGAAGCGAAGAUGUGGAGACAAUUACAAGGACAACACUGGGCUGCAAGAAGAAAAAUUUGCUUAUUGAUUGGCUGGUUUGUUUCCUUUUAGUACGGAGAGACUUAAGCAUGGUUAGGUGCCGAUGGGUUAGAGAGGAGAGGAUGAAUGUACAGGAGAGUUGGAACAGGAUCCCCAAGAAGAAAAUUAAGAUCCCAGUCCUUUCCAGGGGUAGAAUUUAGCAUUGCUGCCUAAAUCUCCAUAUCUAAUGAUUCCUCUGCAGCCGUGCCCAAGACAGAACCAUCCUCAAUCUGGCCCAUCCAUUUGGGCUUUUACUUUGGGUUCCCCAUUAAACCCCUAAUUCCUUCCUGGGCCCAGAACUUUCUCCAGAGCUGCUAUCACUUGCUUUCAUAUCUCAGUCAAGGGGAUCUUACUGCCCUUAACCCCACAGUACUAUCACUUGCCAUGACGCUUGAAUAUUACUGCUUUUGAGAAAGUCUUGCUACCACGUGUUGGC
Molecule: long non-coding RNA, 1214 nt
Filed under: Homo sapiens (human)
Lineage: Eukaryota; Metazoa; Chordata; Mammalia; Primates; Hominidae
Description: LHRI_LNC945.1
Source: RNAcentral